Molecule: transfer RNA, 62 nt
Filed under: Anaplecta calosoma
Lineage: Eukaryota; Metazoa; Arthropoda; Insecta; Blattodea; Anaplectidae
Description: tRNA-Glu
Rfam family: tRNA
About the family: Transfer RNA (tRNA) molecules are approximately 80 nucleotides in length.
Source: RNAcentral
AUUUAUAUAGUUUAAAAAACAUUACAUUUUCAAUGUAAAAUUGGAGGAACAUCCUAUAAAUA